UGCGUAGGCGGCUUUUUAAGUCGGAUGUGAAAUCCCCGAGCUUAACUUGGGAAUUGCAUUCGAUACUGGGAAGCUAGAGUAUGGGAGAGGAUGGUAGAAUUCCAGGUGUAGCGGUGAAAUGCGUAGAGAUCUGGAGGAAUACCGAUGGCGAAGGCAGCCAUCUGGCCUAAUACUGACGCUGAGGUACGAAAGCAUGGGGAGCAAACAG
This 208-nucleotide ribosomal RNA is filed under the name uncultured Acinetobacter sp. Its description in RNAcentral is "partial 16S ribosomal RNA". It matches the Rfam family "Bacterial small subunit ribosomal RNA", at positions 568 to 775 of the family's 1533-position model. Lineage: Bacteria; Pseudomonadati; Pseudomonadota; Gammaproteobacteria; Moraxellales; Moraxellaceae. The record is from RNAcentral.